Molecule: ribosomal RNA, 509 nt
Filed under: Miconia albicans
Lineage: Eukaryota; Viridiplantae; Streptophyta; Magnoliopsida; Myrtales; Melastomataceae
Description: eukaryotic LSU rRNA
Rfam family: Eukaryotic large subunit ribosomal RNA (bases 346-509)
Source: RNAcentral
GAACGCAGCGAAUGCGGAUACUGGUGUGAAUUGCAGAAUCCCGCGAACCAUCAAUUCUUUGAACGCAAGUUGCGCCCGAAGCCAUUCGGCCGAGGGCACGCCUGCCUGGGYGUCGUGAAUCCCCUUGCCCCKAGGCACCCCGCACGAGCAUYGGCGGGGGAUUAUAUGCUCGGGCGCAGAAURUGGUCUCCCGUGGGAUCGGCAUGCACGGCRUGUCGAGGUGCGGUUGGCCGAAAAUCGAGCAUGGCGGUGACGGGCCCCACGGCGUUCGGAUGGAUCGAAUGAGAUUGGCUSCGCCGUGGGCUCGKCAUGCGGCGGGCUCCGGACUUUGAAUAYCCCCGAGUGCGAUCCCAGGUCAGGCGGGGCUACCCGCUGAGUUUAAGCAUAUCAAUAAGCGGAGGAAAAGAAACUAACGAGGAUUCCCUUAGUAGCGGCGAGCGAACCGGGAAGAGCCCAGCGUGAAAAUCGWCCGUCAUCGGCGGCCGAAUUGUAGUCUGGAGAAGCGUCCU